GAUGAACGCUGGCGGCGUGCCUAACACAUGUAAGUCGAACGGAGUUAUGAAGUUUUCGGACGGAUUAACUUAGUGGCGGACGGGUGAGUAACGCGUGGGUAACCUGCCUCAUACAGGGGGAUAACAGUUGGAAACGACUGCUAAAACCGCAUAACAUUGCGAUGCCGCAUGGCGAUGCAAUUAAAUAUUUAUAGGUAUGAGAUGGGCACGCGUCUGAUUAGCUAGUUGGUGAGGUAAUGGCUCACCAAGGCGACGAUCAGUAGCCGGCUUGAGAGAGUGACCGGCCACAUUGGGACUGGGACGCGGCCCAAACUCCUACGGGAGGCAGCAGUGGGGAAUAUUGCACAAUGGGCGAAAGCCUGAUGCAGCGACGCCGCGUGAGUGAAGAAGUAUUUCGGUAUGUAAAGCUCUAUCAGCAGGGAAGAUAAUGACGGUACCUGACUAAGAAGCCCCGGCUAACUACGUGCCAGCCGCCGCCGUAA
Molecule: ribosomal RNA, 482 nt
Filed under: uncultured bacterium
Lineage: Bacteria
Description: partial 16S ribosomal RNA
Rfam family: Bacterial small subunit ribosomal RNA
Source: RNAcentral